CUUGCAAAGCUACAGCUCCAUGAUUCCAUAGCAUUGAGUCGUUAAAGUGAUAUCAAACUAUUAAUCCUACAUUACAGAUGCAUCCACAGACUAGGGAUCAUUUUGUGAAGGCGAUGAUGGCAUGAUUCACAACAACCUAAGGUAAAGUGUAUAUUGGGGUGUAUAUUGGACUGCAACUCCCAUCAUCCAAAAUACAGUGAUGAUGGAUGAUGGGAUGCACAGUUCAGGAAACAUCUGGAGGGCCCCAAGUUCUCUCCAUCCUUGACUCUGUAAUAAAGUAAAGAUGUGGAUAGGUUUCAUGUUCUAGGCUAUGGAAUCAUGGGAUUCAUAGUUUGGUGAGGCACCAGUCUAGAGAAGGCUAAAGGACCUUGUAAAACUACAACUCCCAGGAACACAAAGCAUUGAGCCAUGGCAGUUAAAGCUGUGUUGGGCUGCAUUAUAUGUACAGUGUAGAGGCCUGGGCAAACUCUGGCCCUCCAGGUGUUUUGGACUUUAACUCCCACGAUUCCUAACAGCCUACCGGCUGUUGGAAAUUGUGGGAGUUAAAGUCCAAAACAUCCGAAGGGCCAGAGAUGCCACCUUCCCUUUCCUGCUCCAGCAGACAAAAGGCACUGCAGACUGAUUCAGGCAGAGAAGUUGGCCAUAGCAGAGCACCUGAUGAACUAACCUGGACACAGUAUAUUAUUUGAGAACACGGAAAUGCUGGACCACUCUCACAACCACCGUUUCAGACUACACAGAGGAGCCACUGAAAUCCACAAGCAUGUGGACCAUUUCAACAGAAAGGAGGAAACCAUGAAAAUGAACACCAUCUGGCUACCAAUAUUUUAAAAAAACCUCAAAAAACAGAACAGUAAAUAAGGAACAACACUCUGAAAACAGAGGAAUUCCAGACAUGAGUCAAUCAGGGGCAGCGUACGCCUCCAAACAAAGCAUUCCCCCAGGCAGGAAGAAGCCAGGACAUGAAGUUUGCAAGGCCAUUAAUGCUAAUCAAGGUGAUUAACAACAUUCACACCUGCCUCCAACAGACAAGAAUUCUUUCUCCCACUCUGGAACUUCCACAGAUGUUUAAUAUAAACCUUCCUUGCUUAGUUUUUUUUUCCAGUAUACCUCACAACCUCUGAGGAUGCCUGCCAUAGAUGUGGGUGAAAUGUCAGGAGAGAAUAUCUCUGGAUUCUGGCCCUGCAGGCUGAGAAACACACAGAAAUUCUCAUUCAGAGAAGAGUCAGUAAGAAUAUUACACAGAGUCAGGUUGUCCAAAAGGUGGCUGGGAUGUUUUCUUCUACUUGCUCAAAAAGGCUAUGGCUGGCUGCUUUUAACUACAAUGUUCUGACAGUCGCAGAUGCAACAGUGUUUCAGAAGCCCAUCUCACAGGUGUGGGAAGGUGGCCUGUGAUUGUAUCUGAGGGUGUGUUCUCUGGAGUCUUGCUGAAAGGGAGGGGAAUUCAGCUGUGUCUCCUGGCAAAGGGCCAGAGAAGGGCUGUGUGCAAGUCUUCUGCUCCUUCAGAGGGAGGCAGGCUCUGCAGGGUGGGCAGGGGAGUAUCCAAGGAAGGAGAAGCUGAAGCUCAGUAGUAGGCACUUGAAAUGCAGAGUCAUGACUCGUGGGGAGUAGUUAUGCAAACAUACCAGCAGAGAGAGAACCUCUUUUCCUGGUUGGAAAGGAAGUGGAUUUGGCAAAUUGGAAGUCUUGACUUAAUUCAGUGUCCUGGCAAAGUGCAACAAGGUGCAUGGAUAACCGGAUGGUUCAUUGUAUGAGCAAGGCUGCAGCUGCACUGUUGAAGUAAUACAGUUUGGCCCCACUUGUAACUGCAUGGCUCAAUGUACAGCUAAGUUCAUGCACAUGGUCCCUCCUGUGACCACUUCUCCUGAGGGUGUGCAGACUUUUCUGGCCUCCGUGACAGUACCUUCAUCCUGAACCAGCUGAAGAGCCCAGAGGAGUUGUAGCCUCUUCUACUUUCUUCUUUUGAAGCCUACCAUCUUUGAUCUCCUCAUCCAGAGUUUGCCUAUGAAGGUCCAGUGCAUCUCGGAGAAUUUUUUUUUAAAAAAAUCCUUCUGCCCAAUGCCCCCACCUGCCCUCCUUCUUGAUCUGCUUCAAAGGAAGGUGUGAAGAUGGCAAGGGAGCAUUUCCUGGGACUGACAUGUCUGUGCGGAGUUGCUGUCAGGUACUGGGACUUUUCGGCCCACUUUUAAAACCGGUAUUUUGACACGGUCCGGAAGUACCCAUAAUCUAAUUCAGUUUGGUGAGCAGAUCUCCUAAGGUGGUAUUGGGAAAUUACAUUGAGUUUGGCUCUGUGUCACAUGGUCUGGAAGUUAGUGUCACCAACAUACAAUGAUGCAAGGUGUGCUUCUUCUGUUCAGAUCUCACCACAUGAGCUGUGGAAAGUGGUGUGUGCGCGCAUCAUCUUAGUGCAGCAUAUUGUCCUGUUUAGUUUUAAAAGAUCUCAUACCAUUUUAAAUCCCGUCAGAUGCUGUAUGUUUUGCAGCCUUUCUCCCGUUCUGUCCUGUGUUCUGAACCAUCACAUGAGUGAGUCACUGCACAUUUUUUUUGCUUGGGGGAAACUAUGAAAUUGCAGCAUUUAAUGACUUCUUAACAGCUUCUCUGGAACAAGUCUAGUGACAAAAGAGAGAAAAGAGUCUCCUUUUUCUUUGGGUGCAUCUAUAUUGUAGAACUAAUGAAAUUUAACUGCCUUCGUUCAAUGCUGUAGAACUAUGGGAUUUGUCGUUUACCGAGGCACCAGGCUCCUUUGGCAGAGAAGAAAUAAAAACCUUAUUAAACUACAACUUCUACAUUAAAAUAAUAUACAUAAGCACUUCAUAGGCACUACAAAAGUGAGUACAGUUGGUACCCAAAAAACUAAAAAUUAAUAAAAGCUAGCACACCACUAUUUUGAAACCAAAGAAUACUAAUGGGGGAGAAAAUGGAGCUAUAUCAAACUAGUGAUGUCUUUUUUGUGUGUGAUUUUUUUAUUAUGAGAAAGGAAGGAAGGAGAGAGAGACAGACAGAUCUGGGAAAAACAUUGGAGCAUCGGUUCUUGGGAACAGACUGUCCAUAGGAACACCCAUCGCUCCACGUCACUGAAACAAAAUGACAUGAGUGAAUUUGACAGAUUGCAUCCCAUGUGUUUUGAAGCAUGUCCUCCCAUGUCCAUGUGCAUCAAGAGCUCAGAAGACGAUUUCUUCCCGGUUCCUCUUUCCUCAGUUUAUCUACAUUUCUAAGGCAGAACAAAGCCCCAGGGAGAGUGAAGCCUUUCUUACCAGUGCCAGCGGGCCCCUUGCUUUGUGUCUGCCAUGUUGCCCUGGCUGCCUCUGCUCCUGCAGGCAGGGAAGAAGGAAAGCCGCUCUGCCCGAAUAUCAUCACCAAAACACACUUAGAAGUUGCAGUGGAUUUUCUUUGCACUUAGACUUUGAAACAUACAGUUGGUCCCUUUCCUUCAGAAGACCACUUGUUCAUUCUGUUAGUUCAUUUCCUGGUACUUUUGGCAUGAGGCACGAAUGCAUUUGUGAGCACUCUACUGGGCCUGCUUGAUGUCUUACCACUGGAAAUGGAACAACUCAGCGGGAGUAGAGCAUCAGCUUUAGAGGAUUCUUUCCCUCUACCUCCUGCUGCAAAAGAUGCCCCCAUGCUGUUAAUCUGGUUGACUUUCAGGAAGACAUAAAUUUGUUAAGAUCUGGAGUUUUUCGUGCUCACUGCCUACAUUCCAUAAGGCAUAUUGUGUCUAAUUUGACUGCCUCUUUUAUUUGUUGUUCUGGUGAUGUACUGUUGCUUCCCAUCAGAAUGUCUAGAUAAAUUUAAGGGUAAAUAUGUCAAAUAUUUCACAUGGUGAUAGAAUAAAAUGCACAGCACAUUUCCUUUUAAAUUUUGUUUUAAUUUGGAUGAUAACACUUUCCUUUGUUUUGAAAAGAGAGGUUCCCUGUUAAUUAAUAGCAUUAAGGUACUUAAAGAUUUUGUCAUUUAGGGAACCAAAAUAGUAAGCCAUACCCUAAUCAAAUAAAACUGAUGAAUAGUUAAAAUUCCUCCACAAUGGAUUUAAUUAAAUAAAUUUCAGCAUAUAUAAUUCAGAGGAAGCAAUUGCUUUAUUAUCCAAAAUGUAUAAAUGUAUACACAAUAAGAAGGCCCCUUCUACACUGCCAUAUAAAAUCCAGAUUAUCUGCUUUGAUCCGUAUUUUCUUCCACAGUGAGGACAUCAGUUUCCAGGUGGAAGGUGGUCCCGGUCAGGGUUGGCUUGAUGCACCUUCCUCUUGGUACAUUGCCCCCUGUUCACCUCCAUUCAUUCCUUUCAAAUUCCACAGCACUGCUGGUCACAGCUGACCUCGUUAGAGUGCUCGAGGGCUAGGGCUUCCAUCAAUAUUCCAUUUUCCGUUCUUGAGUUGGGAGUAUAGUAACUGCUUUGGUACUGUAGAUUCAUAUAAUCCAUUUCAAAUAAAAUAAUCUGGAUUAUCUGUUUUUACAAUCUGGAUUAUAUGGCAGUGUAGAAGGGCCCUAAGAAAUGUUUAACUAUCUAAAGCUGCAUGGCAAUGAGUUGGUCUAGUUUCCCCUCCAGUCCCUUCUAACUCUAUGGCUUAAUGAAUCUAAAAUUCCAUGAAAGUAGUGAUGAUGAACAUCAGUGAACAAAGAGAAGUAAGUGGGCCACAUAUGGCUCUGUAGGCCAUCCACAUCUUCAUUUCAAAAGAGGAUUUUAAAACUAAAAAUGCCUUUCACAGCUGUUAAAAACAUAGAGUAAAACAUUGCCAUGUUUUGUGGACUCUUUUUUAGCUCCCAAAGGAGCCAUGUACAAUGAGGAAAUAAAAUCAGAAAUCAACAUUUAGAUAAAGCUAUAAUUUAAUUUGUCUUUUACUGUCUUUUACCGAAGAGAGGUAAUGACAUGGCAAGAUUUGGUUCAUAUGCCCUAUGGCAUAGGUAGAUAACAUGUAGUCCACAGGCCUUCAGAAAAGUACCCAAAGCUCUAAAAAAUGCAAAGGUUUUCUGCCUCUCAAUGCUCUCCAAACAAAAAUAACCAAAUCAACCAAAAGCAAAACUGAAUGUACUGCAAUAUGACUUAAUAAUUAUAUCAUGCAUGCCGGUGAAGCUGGCUGAUAGAGAACACAUGUAAAAUUGGGCUCUGUCCCCAUUGCUGGAAUAGAGAGAGUUUGUAUGAGCAUUUGCAGUAAAAGAAAAGAAAAAAGAAUAAUGGUUUAUAUGGUUGUUGUUGUUGUUGUUGUUGGAGCGGCUUCAGCUGUCUGAGAUUAUACAAAGAUCACUGCAGCUCUCCCAUCUAUGGCAAUUGCUCAUCUCUGCUUUACAGCAUUCUUGUGAUACCAUAUGACUUCUUCUAACUCAGUGGUUCUCAGCCUUCCUAAUGCCACGGCCCUUUAAUGCAGUUCCUCAUGUUGUGGUGAUCUCCAACCAUAAAAUUAUUUUUGUUGUUUCUUUAUAACUGUAAUUUUGCUACUGUUAUGAAUCGUAAUGUAAAUAUCU
Anolis carolinensis (green anole) is the source of this 5454-nucleotide long non-coding RNA. RefSeq lists it as uncharacterized. The transcript is spliced from 5 exons. The record is from RefSeq and is a predicted model, not a curated record. Lineage: Eukaryota; Metazoa; Chordata; Lepidosauria; Squamata; Anolidae.